GACGAACGUUGGCGGCGUGCUUAACACAUGCAAGUCGAACGGAAAGGCCCUGCUUUUGUGGGGUGCUCGAGUGGCGAACGGGUGAGUAACACGUGAGUAACCUGCCCUUGACUUUGGGAUAACUUCAGGAAACUGGGGCUAAUACCGGAUAGGAGCUCCUGCUGCAUGGUGGGGGUUGGAAAGUUUCGGCGGUUGGGGAUGGACUCGCGGCUUAUCAACUUGUUGGUGGGGUAGUGGCUUACCAAGGCUUUGACGGGUAGCCGGCCUGAGAGGGUGACCGGCCACAUUGGGACUGAGAUACGGCCCAGACUCCUACGGGAGGCAGCAGUGGGGAAUAUUGCACAAUGGGCGGAAGCCUGAUGCAGCAACGCCGCGUUCGGGAUGACGGCCUUCGGGUUGUAAACCGCUUUCGCCUGUGACGAAGCGUGAGUGACGGUAAUGGGUAAAGAAGCACCGGCUAACUACGUGCCAGCAGCCGCGGUGAUACGUAGGGUGCGAGCGUUGUCCGGAUUUAUUGGGCGUAAAGGGCUCGUAGGUGGUUGAUCGCGUCGGAAGUGUAAUCUUGGGGCUUAACCCUGAGCGUGCUUUCGAUACGGGUUGACUUGAGGAAGGUAGGGGAGAAUGGAAUUCCUGGUGGAGCGGUGGAAUGCGCAGAUACCAGGAGGAACACCAGUGGCGAAGGCGGUUCUCUGGGCCUUUCCUGACGCUGAGGAGCGAAAGCGUGGGGAGCGAACAGGCUUAGAUACCCUGGUAGUCCACGCUGUAAACGGUGGGUACUAGGUGUGGGGUCCAUUCCACGGGUUCCGUGCCGUAGCUAACGCUUUAAGUACCCCGCCUGGGGAGUACGGCCGCAAGGCUAAAACUCAAAGGAAUUGACGGGGCCCCGCACAAGCGGCGGAGCAUGCGGAUUAAUUCGAUGCAACGCGUAGAACCUUACCUGGGUUUGACAUGGAUCGGGAGUGCUCAGAGAUGGGUGUGCCUCUUUUGGGGUCGGUUCACAGGUGGUGCAUGCCUGUCGUCAGCUCGUGUCGUGAGAUGUUGGGUUAAGUCCCGCAACGAGCGCAACCCUUGUUCACUGUUGCCAGCACGUUAUGGUGGGGACUCAGUGGAGACCGCCGGGGUCAACUCGGAGGAAGGUGGGGAUGACGUCAAGUCCUCAUGCCCCUUAUGUCCAGGGCUUCACGCAUGCUACAAUGGCUGGUACAGAGAGUGGCGAGCCUGUGAGGGUGAGCGAAUCUCGGAAAGCCGGUCUCAGUUCGGAUUGGGGUCUGCAACUCGACCUCAUGAAGUCGGAGUCGCUAGUAAUCGCAGAUCAGCAACGCUGCGGUGAAUACGUUCCCGGGGCU
RNAcentral lists this ribosomal RNA (1346 nucleotides) under uncultured bacterium. Its description in RNAcentral is "bacterial SSU rRNA". It matches the Rfam family "Bacterial small subunit ribosomal RNA", at positions 28 to 1381 of the family's 1533-position model. The record is from RNAcentral.